UUAGCAGCCCUGUAGCCAGAAGUUCUCUACUUUACCACAGAAUAGGUACUUCAGGAGGCGUGGGAGGGCAAAUUUCACAAACACAGUCCCCUGUCAAUGUGAUUCAAUCCUGACUUGGAGUACCCACCUCCAGUGUUAUAGGGGAGUUCAGGAUCUAGGGCACAUUCAAUCCUUAUAGAUU
This 181-nucleotide small RNA is filed under the name Chrysemys picta bellii (western painted turtle). Its description in RNAcentral is "TUC338 (ENSCPBG00000008930.1)". Lineage: Eukaryota; Metazoa; Chordata; Testudines; Emydidae. The record is from RNAcentral.